This 495-nucleotide ribosomal RNA is filed under the name uncultured bacterium. RNAcentral's name for it is "partial 16S ribosomal RNA". It matches the Rfam family "Bacterial small subunit ribosomal RNA", at positions 28 to 507 of the family's 1533-position model. The record is from RNAcentral.
GACGAACGCUGGCGGCGUGCCUAAUACAUGCAAGUAGAACGCUGAAGGAGGAGCUUGCUUCUCUGGAUGAGUUGCGAACGGGUGAGUAACGCGUAGGUAACCUGCCUGGUAGCGGGGGAUAACUAUUGGAAACGAUAGCUAAUACCGCAUAAGAGUAGAUGUUGCAUGACAUUUGCUUAAAAGGUGCAAUUGCAUCACUACCAGAUGGACCUGCGUUGUAUUAGCUAGUUGGUGGGGUAACGGCUCACCAAGGCGACGAUACAUAGCCGACCUGAGAGGGUGAUCGGCCAAACUGGGACUGAGACACGGCCCAGACUCCUACGGGAGGCAGCAGUAGGGAAUCUUCGGCAAUGGACGGAAGUCUGACCGAGCAACGCCGCGUGAGUGAAGAAGGGUUUCGGAUCGGAAAGCUCUGUUGUAAGGGAAGAACGAGUGUGGGAGUGGAAAGUUCACACUGUGACGGUAUCUUACCAGAAAGGGACGGCUAACUACGUG